CCACUCAAUCAUUCCUUCAUCCGUGCAGCAAUCCCAUACAGAACACCCAAGCAUUCCACCCAAGGUGAGAGACACAGGUGGAUGGGGGCCACCAUGGGCCCAGCUGUUUGUGCUUCUCACCAUGCUGAUUACGGGGCACCCAGGCAUGGGCCCCAUGUGCCUGAUGCUGGCAUACUGAGUCACAGUGAUCUCACUGUAGGGCUUGUGCUUCAGGAGAGGCACAGUGAGGGGCAAUGAAAACAGACAAAAAAGACCAGGAGGUUGAGUUACGGCACUUUGGGCACUGCUGAUCCUCGCAUCCCUGGUCCCCUAUCCCCUGUUCCCUCCCUUGUAAAGUCCUGAGAGGCCCCAAAAUGGCCCAAAGAGAAUCCCCACACUGGAAAACCUGCCUCCAAAAUGGAGGGGACACAGGAGGCAUCGAAAUAGCAGAGAAUUUGUCUGGGUUUGAACCGCCAGUGUGGCAGGACAAAGCCUCAACCUCUGGCUGCUGUAAGAGGCUCAUUCCCAGGAAGAAAAAUGACCUCCAGCUGCAGUAGGUGCAUGUGACACCUCCCUGGCUGGACUGUGAGCUCCUUGAAGCUUUGUUACCUGUGGUGGGGAAGAGUAAGAGAGAAUUCCGUCCAAUGUCAUGAUCCCAACGAGGAAGCAGUACAGAGGUCUGUACAGCCAGCCCACUUGCUUCUCUCUUGGGCACCCCCCUAUUUAUGAUCCACCAACCUAAGCUUCACUGCUGGGAAAAAAACCACCCUGACUUGCAGCAAAUUUUCUGAGAAUGACGUGUCACCCUUCCAGAAGGACCUCCAAGUCUGCCUUCUGUGUGAGUGCACCCUCCAUGCCCUCGGUCGUCCAUCCUGGCUCUAGCAAUCAUAUCCUGGUGGGUCCCACCCCUUUCCUUUGAUUUCUUUCCCCCAUGAGGCAAAGACCGGAACAUCCUAGAGCCUACUUGGGAAGGAAGACCAUGAGGACCAACAAAUCAAAGUCCUGGAAUCUUAGACUGUUAAAUUUUGGCAUGGCAUUAAAUCUAACCUAAUUUAAUAUUCCCAUUUUAUAGGUGAGGAAACUGAGGCCCAGAAAGGGAAAGUGGCUGUCCCAUGAUCACACUGCCAACCGGUUAGUGGCAAUAUCGAAACUGGAGUCCAAACUUCCAGACUUCUACGCAAUUGUUCUUUCCAACCUGCCCCUCAAUUCUGUUUGCACUUGGGGUUCAGAUCACAGAAACAUAAAUUUUAAACAAGCAAACAAAAACCUAGCAUUGUAGGAUUAGAUACCAAACACUUUGAACUUAAAAAAAUAAAAACAUUUAUACGGGCCUUAUCCUAUCCUCAAAGCAUUAUUUUCAGGUAAAUGAAGUUGAUGAUGUUACUCUCAUUGUAUAGAUUGGGAAAUUGAGGCCAGAAAGAGUCGCCCUAAGUCACAACAAAGAUGUGUUGGGGGAAGAAGUGCUUGUGUUUCCUGACUCUAUCCAGUGCUCCUUCCAUUGUACUCCAUGGCUCCGAAAACUUAGCAUUGUCACCCAAAUAACCAAACUAACCAAAUGAAACUGUCAUGGGGCCCCUUCCAGAGAAG
This is a long non-coding RNA of Panthera uncia (snow leopard), 1566 nucleotides long. RefSeq lists it as uncharacterized. The transcript is spliced from 3 exons. The record is from RefSeq and is a predicted model, not a curated record. Lineage: Eukaryota; Metazoa; Chordata; Mammalia; Carnivora; Felidae.